CCUAGAACCAGUGCUCUUGUUUAAGCACCUGUGGUUGGUUUGUGUCCCUGUGCAUUCUGCAGCCUACUGUCUCGGUGCUCCCCAUGUCCUGGGUGACAGUAGUGGGAGAUCAGAAGCAUCGUGUCCUGGGUGACAGUAGUGGGAGAUCGGAAGCAUCGUGUCCUGGGUGACAGUAGUGGGAGAUCGGAAGCAUCGUGUCCUGGGUGACAGUAGUGGGAGAUCGGAAGCAUCGUGUCCUGGGUGACAGUAGUGGGAGAUCGGAAGCAUCGUGUCCUGGGUGACAGUAGUGGGAGAUCGGAAGCAUCGUGUCCUGGGUGACAGUAGUGGGAGAUCAGAAGCAUCGUGUCCUGGGUGACAGUAGUGGUAGAUCAGAAGCAUCGUGUCCUGGGUGACAGUAGUGGGAGGUCAGAAGCAUCGUGUCCUGGGUGACAGUAGUGGGAGGUCAGAAGCAUCGUGUCCUGGGUGACAGUAGUGGGAGGUCAGAAGCAUCGUGUCCUGGGUGACAGUAGUGGGAGGUCAGAAGCAUCGUGUCCUGGGUGACAGUAGUGGGAGGUCAGAAGCAUCGUGUCCUGGGUGACAGUAGUGGGAGGUCGGAAGCAUCGUGUCCUGGGUGACAGUAGUGGGAGGUCAGAAGCACGUGUCCUGGGUGACAGUAGUGGGAGAUCGGAAGCAUCGGCGGCGUGGCAGACCACUGGUUCAACAGCCUCUCAUCUGCUUGGCCUGUCCAACGGGCCUGUUUGGAUUGGGACGGCCCAUAAAGUUCAGUGUGGAGUUAAAUUGUCACUGUCAGACAGGAGCUGUUUACCGUUACUCGUUACACCCCGAUGAUUUAUCAGGUUUUCC
This 843-nucleotide long non-coding RNA is filed under the name Salmo salar (Atlantic salmon). RNAcentral's name for it is "lncRNA (ENSSSAG00000092538.1)". Lineage: Eukaryota; Metazoa; Chordata; Actinopteri; Salmoniformes; Salmonidae. The record is from RNAcentral.